UGUUCGACGAGAGAGA
Molecule: unclassified non-coding RNA, 16 nt
Filed under: synthetic construct
Description: RNA (5'-R(*UP*GP*UP*UP*CP*GP*AP*CP*GP*AP*GP*AP*GP*AP*GP*A)-3') from synthetic construct (PDB 5F8H, chain C)
Source: RNAcentral